Mycena rebaudengoi is the source of this 97-nucleotide non-coding RNA. Lineage: Eukaryota; Fungi; Basidiomycota; Agaricomycetes; Agaricales; Mycenaceae. The record is from the annotation of a GenBank genome assembly.
UCGGAUGUGGUGCACGGUGCGCAUUGGCUUACAGUAAUGGGCUCCGAAUGUGUAUCCAUGUAAGCCAAAAGCCGGGGUUCGACUCCCUGCAUCCGGG